RNAcentral lists this ribosomal RNA (294 nucleotides) under uncultured bacterium. RNAcentral's name for it is "partial 16S ribosomal RNA". It matches the Rfam family "Bacterial small subunit ribosomal RNA", at positions 333 to 641 of the family's 1533-position model. The record is from RNAcentral.
GAGUUCCUACGGGAGGCAGCAGUGGGGAAUAUUGGACAAUGGGGGGAACCCUGAUCCAGCGACGCCGCGUGAGUGAAGAAGUAUUUCGGUAUGUAAAGCUCUAUCAGCAGGGAAGAAAGAAAUGACGGUACCUGACUAAGAAGCCCCGGCUAACUACGUGCCAGCAGCCGCGGUAAUACGUAGGGGGCAAGCGUUAUCCGGAUUUACUGGGUGUAAAGGGAGCGUAGACGGCGAUGCAAGUCUGAAGUGAAAGGCAGGGGCCCUACCCCCGGACUGCUUUGGACACUGUUGUGC